Molecule: ribosomal RNA, 253 nt
Filed under: uncultured microorganism
Description: partial 16S ribosomal RNA
Rfam family: Bacterial small subunit ribosomal RNA
Source: RNAcentral
UACGUAGGGUGCGAGCGUUAAUCGGAUUUACUGGGCGUAAAGCGUGCGCAGGCGGCCCGUUAAGACAGGUGUGAAAUCCCUGGGCUCAACCUAGGAAUUGCGCUUGUAACUGGCGGGCUCGAGUACGGUAGAGGGGGGUGGAAUUCCUGGUGUAGCAGUGAAAUGCGUAGAGAUCAGGAGGAACACCGAUGGCGAAGGCAGCCCCCUGGGCCUGUACUGACGCUCAUGCACGAAAGCGUGGGGAGCAAACAGG